GCGCACUUGGUGAAGUGGUUAACACACUAGAUUGUGGCUCUAGCAUGCGUGGGUUCGAUUCCCACAGUGCGCCCCA
This 76-nucleotide transfer RNA is filed under the name Bacillota bacterium. RNAcentral describes it as "tRNA-His". It matches the Rfam family "tRNA". From Rfam's summary of the family: Transfer RNA (tRNA) molecules are approximately 80 nucleotides in length. Their secondary structure includes four short double-helical elements and three loops (D, anti-codon, and T loops). Further hydrogen bonds mediate the characteristic L-shaped molecular structure. tRNAs have two regions of fundamental functional importance: the anti-codon, which is responsible for specific mRNA codon recognition, and the 3' end, to which the tRNAs corresponding amino acid is attached (by aminoacyl-tRNA synthetases). tRNAs cope with the degeneracy of the genetic code in two manners: having more than one tRNA (with a specific anti-codon) for a particular amino acid; and 'wobble' base-pairing, i.e. permitting non-standard base-pairing at the 3rd anti-codon position. Lineage: Bacteria; Bacillati; Bacillota. The record is from RNAcentral.